GACGAACGCUGGCGGCGUGCUUAACACAUGCAAGUCGAACGGAGCGAAUGAAAGCUUGCUUUUAUGAGCUUAGUGGCAAACGGGUGAGUAACACGUAGACAACCUGCCGACAGGAUGGGGACAACAUUCCGAAAGGAAUGCUAAUACCGAAUGAAGCGGAGGAGAGGCAUCUCUCUUCUGUGAAAGAUGGCCUCUUUUUAUGCUAUCACCUGUUGAUGGGUCUGCGUCUGAUUAGCUGGUUGGUGAGGUAACGGCUCACCAAGGCGACGAUCAGUAGCCGGUCUGAGAGGAUGAACGGCCACAUUGGGACUGAGACACGGCCCAGACUCCUACGGGAGGCAGCAGUGGGGAAUCUUCCGCAAUGGGCGCAAGCCUGACGGAGCAACGCCGCGUGAGUGAAGAAGGUCUUCGGAUCGUAAAGCUCUGUUGACGGGGACGAACGUGCGGAGUGCGAAUAGCGCUU
Molecule: ribosomal RNA, 463 nt
Filed under: Centipeda dianae
Lineage: Bacteria; Bacillati; Bacillota; Negativicutes; Selenomonadales; Selenomonadaceae
Description: bacterial SSU rRNA
Rfam family: Bacterial small subunit ribosomal RNA
Source: RNAcentral